ACCACCAACAGAAAACUGACAAUUUGGAAAAGCUGCUAAGGCCACAAUGGUUCAGCGCAAAAGGCGAAUUCGGGAAUAGUGUGCGCGGGACAGAGAGACCGACAGCAGGUUGAAGCAGAUUGAGGAGGGAUACCGGCACAUGCUUGCCAAGUCUUCAGAGGAUGGCUGCGGUGUCCAGAGGGUGCAGUACUCCACUGAGGAUAGAAGUGGAGAAACCAAUGCUGGAUGCACACACUACCCCCCAGGAGGACAGAACAAGACACCCUGUAUCAGCCAUGAUGAUCACCCAGGACUGCGCUUGUUCUUCCUCCACAUAUACACAGAGCACAAGAGCCUCCACCCCACAGCCCCACACUGGGGGUGUUUUGUUCCGAGUCUGAAGCCCGUCAAACCCGGGACGCCCCUUAACCGCCACGUGGGUCACAAAAGCCUUCCUGUUUACCGAGUCAACAACAACAGCAAAUCACAUGCUAAUGAAUCCAUACAUUCCGGGCUACAUGGCCCAUCAAAGAUUCAUGAUAUUCUCCAGCGUAUGACACAGAAUUCUGAAAAUGGAAUACAUAUUAAACCCUGGUGCUGA
Molecule: long non-coding RNA, 580 nt
Filed under: Scleropages formosus (Asian bonytongue)
Lineage: Eukaryota; Metazoa; Chordata; Actinopteri; Osteoglossiformes; Osteoglossidae
Description: lncRNA (ENSSFOG00015024323.1)
Source: RNAcentral